GAUGAAGAACGCAGCGAAAUGCGAUACGUAAUGUGAAUUGCAGAAUUCAAUGAAUCAUCGAGUCUUUGAACGCACAUUGCGCCCCCUGGUAUUCCGGGGGGCAUGCCUGUCCGAGCGUCAUUGCUGCCCUCAAGCACGGCUUGUGUGUUGGGCCUCCGUCCUCCUCCCGGGGGACGGGCCCGAAAGGCAGCGGCGGCACCGCGUCCGGUCCUCGAGCGUAUGGGGCUUCGUCACCCGCUCUUGUAGGCCCGGCCGGCGCUUGCCGACACAUCAAUCUUUUUUCCAGGUUGACCUCGGAUCAGGUAGGGAUACCCGCUGAACUUAAGCAUAUCAAUAAGCGGAGGA
This 345-nucleotide unclassified non-coding RNA is filed under the name soil metagenome. RNAcentral's name for it is "partial contains 5.8S ribosomal RNA, internal transcribed spacer 2, and large subunit ribosomal RNA". The stretch from base 1 to 120 matches the Rfam family "5.8S ribosomal RNA", at positions 35 to 154 of the family's 154-position model. The record is from RNAcentral.